UGCCAAACCAUUGACUGGGAUUCAUG
RNAcentral lists this non-coding RNA (26 nucleotides) under Mus musculus (house mouse). The record is from RNAcentral. Lineage: Eukaryota; Metazoa; Chordata; Mammalia; Rodentia; Muridae.